Long non-coding RNA from Schistocerca piceifrons (Central American locust), 410 nucleotides. RefSeq lists it as uncharacterized. The record is from RefSeq and is a predicted model, not a curated record. Lineage: Eukaryota; Metazoa; Arthropoda; Insecta; Orthoptera; Acrididae. The transcript has 4 exons.
GGAAACACUUGUCGCACGCACUGUAACACACUCUGACUGUCUUGCGUUUACUGCAGUAUACAGUCUAAUAUUUAAACUUCUCAUGUUUCAGGUUCCUCUGGUGGACCUGUAUCGUCCUGGAUCGCAAGUCUGAUGAACGGGUAGCGAAGAACGAAGAUUGGUCUGGGCCACCUGCUGCACCACCACCACCACCACCACCAGCAGCAGCAGCAGCAGCCGAGGAGGGUGCUGCAAGAGAGAUGUCCGUGGACAGCCUGAGCCUUGUCGCUGUGCACUCAGGCAUGUCAGAUAUACAGGAAUUUGUUUUGCCCGAUGCGGAGCCAGCAUUCUGCUCGCUGGAGGUUGAGCAUGAGAAGUAGACUGUCUUCUCAAGCAUGUUAGCCGGGAGUGUGCCAAUUUUGGCCCCAAUG